RNAcentral lists this ribosomal RNA (2904 nucleotides) under Escherichia coli. Its description in RNAcentral is "23S ribosomal RNA". It matches the Rfam family "Bacterial large subunit ribosomal RNA". Lineage: Bacteria; Pseudomonadati; Pseudomonadota; Gammaproteobacteria; Enterobacterales; Enterobacteriaceae. RNAcentral also lists the same sequence under 1 other name. The record is from RNAcentral.
UUAAGCGACUAAGCGUACACGGUGGAUGCCCUGGCAGUCAGAGGCGAUGAAGGACGUGCUAAUCUGCGAUAAGCGUCGGUAAGGUGAUAUGAACCGUUAUAACCGGCGAUUUCCGAAUGGGGAAACCCAGUGUGUUUCGACACACUAUCAUUAACUGAAUCCAUAGGUUAAUGAGGCGAACCGGGGGAACUGAAACAUCUAAGUACCCCGAGGAAAAGAAAUCAACCGAGAUUCCCCCAGUAGCGGCGAGCGAACGGGGAGCAGCCCAGAGCCUGAAUCAGUGUGUGUGUUAGUGGAAGCGUCUGGAAAGGCGCGCGAUACAGGGUGACAGCCCCGUACACAAAAAUGCACAUGCUGUGAGCUCGAUGAGUAGGGCGGGACACGUGGUAUCCUGUCUGAAUAUGGGGGGACCAUCCUCCAAGGCUAAAUACUCCUGACUGACCGAUAGUGAACCAGUACCGUGAGGGAAAGGCGAAAAGAACCCCGGCGAGGGGAGUGAAAAAGAACCUGAAACCGUGUACGUACAAGCAGUGGGAGCACGCUUCGGCGUGUGACUGCGUACCUUUUGUAUAAUGGGUCAGCGACUUAUAUUCUGUAGCAAGGUUAACCGAAUAGGGGAGCCGAAGGGAAACCGAGUCUUAACUGGGCGUUAAGUUGCAGGGUAUAGACCCGAAACCCGGUGAUCUAGCCAUGGGCAGGUUGAAGGUUGGGUAACACUAACUGGAGGACCGAACCGACUAAUGUUGAAAAAUUAGCGGAUGACUUGUGGCUGGGGGUGAAAGGCCAAUCAAACCGGGAGAUAGCUGGUUCUCCCCGAAAGCUAUUUAGGUAGCGCCUCGUGAAUUCAUCUCCGGGGGUAGAGCACUGUUUCGGCAAGGGGGUCAUCCCGACUUACCAACCCGAUGCAAACUGCGAAUACCGGAGAAUGUUAUCACGGGAGACACACGGCGGGUGCUAACGUCCGUCGUGAAGAGGGAAACAACCCAGACCGCCAGCUAAGGUCCCAAAGUCAUGGUUAAGUGGGAAACGAUGUGGGAAGGCCCAGACAGCCAGGAUGUUGGCUUAGAAGCAGCCAUCAUUUAAAGAAAGCGUAAUAGCUCACUGGUCGAGUCGGCCUGCGCGGAAGAUGUAACGGGGCUAAACCAUGCACCGAAGCUGCGGCAGCGACGCUGAUGCGUUGUUGGGUAGGGGAGCGUUCUGUAAGCCUGCGAAGGUGUGCUGUGAGGCAUGCUGGAGGUAUCAGAAGUGCGAAUGCUGACAUAAGUAACGAUAAAGCGGGUGAAAAGCCCGCUCGCCGGAAGACCAAGGGUUCCUGUCCAACGUUAAUCGGGGCAGGGUGAGUCGACCCCUAAGGCGAGGCCGAAAGGCGUAGUCGAUGGGAAACAGGUUAAUAUUCCUGUACUUGGUGUUACUGCGAAGGGGGGACGGAGAAGGCUAUGUUGGCCGGGCGACGGUUGUCCCGGUUUAAGCGUGUAGGCUGGUUUUCCAGGCAAAUCCGGAAAAUCAAGGCUGAGGCGUGAUGACGAGGCACUACGGUGCUGAAGCAACAAAUGCCCUGCUUCCAGGAAAAGCCUCUAAGCAUCAGGUAACAUCAAAUCGUACCCCAAACCGACACAGGUGGUCAGGUAGAGAAUACCAAGGCGCUUGAGAGAACUCGGGUGAAGGAACUAGGCAAAAUGGUGCCGUAACUUCGGGAGAAGGCACGCUGAUAUGUAGGUGAAGUCCCUCGCGGAUGGAGCUGAAAUCAGUCGAAGAUACCAGCUGGCUGCAACUGUUUAUUAAAAACACAGCACUGUGCAAACACGAAAGUGGACGUAUACGGUGUGACGCCUGCCCGGUGCCGGAAGGUUAAUUGAUGGGGUUAGCCGCAAGGCGAAGCUCUUGAUCGAAGCCCCGGUAAACGGCGGCCGUAACUAUAACGGUCCUAAGGUAGCGAAAUUCCUUGUCGGGUAAGUUCCGACCUGCACGAAUGGCGUAAUGAUGGCCAGGCUGUCUCCACCCGAGACUCAGUGAAAUUGAACUCGCUGUGAAGAUGCAGUGUACCCGCGGCAAGACGGAAAGACCCCGUGAACCUUUACUAUAGCUUGACACUGAACAUUGAGCCUUGAUGUGUAGGAUAGGUGGGAGGCUUAGAAGUGUGGACGCCAGUCUGCAUGGAGCCGACCUUGAAAUACCACCCUUUAAUGUUUGAUGUUCUAACGUUGACCCGUAAUCCGGGUUGCGGACAGUGUCUGGUGGGUAGUUUGACUGGGGCGGUCUCCUCCUAAAGAGUAACGGAGGAGCACGAAGGUUGGCUAAUCCUGGUCGGACAUCAGGAGGUUAGUGCAAUGGCAUAAGCCAGCUUGACUGCGAGCGUGACGGCGCGAGCAGGUGCGAAAGCAGGUCAUAGUGAUCCGGUGGUUCUGAAUGGAAGGGCCAUCGCUCAACGGAUAAAAGGUACUCCGGGGAUAACAGGCUGAUACCGCCCAAGAGUUCAUAUCGACGGCGGUGUUUGGCACCUCGAUGUCGGCUCAUCACAUCCUGGGGCUGAAGUAGGUCCCAAGGGUAUGGCUGUUCGCCAUUUAAAGUGGUACGCGAGCUGGGUUUAGAACGUCGUGAGACAGUUCGGUCCCUAUCUGCCGUGGGCGCUGGAGAACUGAGGGGGGCUGCUCCUAGUACGAGAGGACCGGAGUGGACGCAUCACUGGUGUUCGGGUUGUCAUGCCAAUGGCACUGCCCGGUAGCUAAAUGCGGAAGAGAUAAGUGCUGAAAGCAUCUAAGCACGAAACUUGCCCCGAGAUGAGUUCUCCCUGACUCCUUGAGAGUCCUGAAGGAACGUUGAAGACGACGACGUUGAUAGGCCGGGUGUGUAAGCGCAGCGAUGCGUUGAGCUAACCGGUACUAAUGAACCGUGAGGCUUAACCUU